RNAcentral lists this long non-coding RNA (2691 nucleotides) under Paramuricea clavata. Lineage: Eukaryota; Metazoa; Cnidaria; Anthozoa; Malacalcyonacea; Plexauridae. The record is from RNAcentral.
CAGUAUUUUGAUUUAUUGUCAUAGUUAUUAGCUAGAUUACAUUAUUUUCAUAUUAAAAAUAAAAUUAACAAAUUACAAUAUCUGUGUGAAAAUAUUGCAAUAAUCAAUUAAAAUAUCAAACCAGCCAAUUGUUUCAAACAUGCAAAAUUUGCGAGUGUAAGGGACAGACCAUUAGAAAAGUGAUGGGCGGGGGGGGUUCUAAGAGGUAAUAUAUAUAUUUUUAUACACCUAUAGAAGUAAUAAUUUUUUUUUCUCACUUGAUGCCUGGAAAUAUUUUUAAGUGCAAUUUAUAUCUUCCAAGCUAGGAAUUUUUUUUUGCACUAUGCCUGGAAAGAUUUUCCCCCUAAUUUUUUUUCUGGAAAUUUUUUUUUUUGGUUUUGCCCCUCCCCCCAAUCACUUUCUAAUGGUCCGUCCCUAACCUCCCCCUACCUCCCCCUGAGAGAACAAGAGAGGUGCUGUGGGCUCCUAUUUUCCAUUUUGAUAUGUGGCAAUGGACCAUAUAAUGCACCAAUUUUUUUAUUUUUUUUUUGGGGGGGGGUGUAUAUUCAUAUAUUCCUGUUUACAUACCGUAAAAACAAUCGAUUUCAAAAGAAAUCCGUUGGGCAGAACACAAAUAUAUGAAUAUGCACCCCCCCCCAAUUAUCGUGCUAGCCACGGCCCUGCCUGUCAAAUGCCUGACAAAUAUACUUGUCUAUGCAAAGGGAGAGCUCUGGCUCUUCAUGGGUUGACUAGUAUAUGCUAAACCUUUGAAAGUGGCAAUGUGCCCCAAUGCACCCCACUUUAUUAUUAUAUUAGAACUGUCUGAUGGCAGACAAUUCUAUUUGUGAAGGGGAGUGCUGGUGCUCAAUAAGUUGAUUUAAAUUAAGUGGAAUAUUAUAUCAAUUGCUUUGAACAAAGGUGAUUCUCUUUUGUGGCAAGAAAUUUAACCAGGGCAUUCUUCUUAAAGUUGUCUACACAUCUCUGGAUUUUUCUUGGCAUCUGGAAAAGUGUAAUAGAAUACAUAUCCAAUCAGGAAUGUACUAUAUUAUCUACAUAAGUUUGUCUACAUGCUGUUGAACAUUAUAUUAUUUUUUCCUUUCAAUUUUCAAAUAUUAAAUGUUAUUUCAGGCAUAGAAGUUAGAGUGCAUGAUUACGCAUCCCUUCCCACCCAUUGACUUCUAUUUCUAUGUACUUGAAGUAUUUCCAUAAAUUCAUAUUUGCCAUAAAUUCAAAUUCAUCAAUUUGCUGGCCAUUUCAUGUAUGAACUAUAAACUUUACUUGUACAACUAGAUAUUAGGCUUUCUACUGUUAGUCAUGAAAGAAGAUUAAAAUUGUCUAUUAAAAUCACAACUCAAGAUUGUAGUGUGAGCCUUGCAAGCUUUUACUCAACACUUAUACUCCUACAGAGACACUUAUUAGGAACAGUUUUGAUCUGUUUUGUGCCCAUUACAACCACUAUUGGCAUCCUAGUCCUGUGACAAUAUAUUAAAAAUUUAAAACCCUAGGACAAGUUGGAACUUGACACCAUUUGUCCAUCAUUUUAAGGCAAUUCUGAUACUAUAUUGUAUGUUAAAAUUGAUGUUGGAUCUUUGGCUAAGGACUCCGAGAGGAAAACAAAAAUAUAACCUGCCCAAAUGGCAAAAUAAAACACAAAGAAAAGUGAUAAAGGCAGAAAAAUACCAGCUGCUGUACAGCGUCGUUUAUAGUUGUUAAUUUCGUAUCCAAUUUUUCUUGAAAACACGGUAUUUAUUUAGUAGAAAUGAAGCACAGAAACAGUUUAAUAUACAUCUUACCUGUAAAAAAGUGUUUCUUCUUGAUAAAGAAUUGUGGCAUCAUGAAGUCAUGCAAAAACUCGGCAUUUUUUCUUGAUGAUUUUUAUAUAUAAAACUUUCAGCAGAGUUUCAGGGUUUUUUCAAAAACCAGGGGGGUGAAAUUGUCGUCAAAAACCGAGGAUCGCGGUUGGCCAGUGGUAAUUACCACGAGGAUGUAGGACCAGUGGCGUCAUUCUGGCGUCAGCAAACGUGAAAAUCCGCCAUGUUUUUGGCUUCACCUUUUGAUGCCGAGCACUUCCUCCAGUUAUAUUAUAGCUCAGUGGUUUUCCAUGUAAAAGGUAAACAACCAUGAAAAACCAAAGAAAAUACCUGUCGAUGUUGAGGAAAUAUGAGGCCAUCUAGCAUUUCCAUCCACCUUUCCCGUCAACGAUGACAUAGAGAUAAGGGCAGCCAAUGGACUAUCAGUUAAAACCGUAAGCAAAUCGCAACAGGACAAAACCAUUAUCAUGAAAUAACAUAAUUUCUUUCGAAGUUGUACAGACCUCCAGAAAGUGAGUAUGCAUGACCAAGGAAUUUAAACAUAUUCCCGAGAAAAAGAAGAAUACAUUCACAGCAAAUAUGAAUAUGAGGUUGAUAAAAUAAUAAGAUUCCAUGCAUCCUCGAGCGACUCUCAAGAAUUAAACAUAAAACUAAAACUGUUGUGUUUAAGUAUGACAGCUGAAUUUCAAGUACUCAAGUGUAUAAAUGACAUAUACAAGUAAACUAUUACAUCAUAAAAUGGUAAUAUGAGGAAGGCCUAUUAUAGCAUGCUUCUGUGUUUAGGUUUUCUCCAGCAGUAAUCCUGAAAUAUAUAAGAGAUGACCCUUGCUGGCAGAGGCGCCGGAAUAUCGAUAAUAGCGGGGGCAGAUAUUCAUAUAUUCGUGUUCACAGACUGUAAAAA